AGAGUUUGAUCCUGGCUCAGAACGAACGCUGGCAGCGUGGAUUAGGCAUGCAAGUCGAACGGGAAGCUAUUGUUUCAAGUUUUCGGACGAGAAACAGUAGUGGAUAGUGGCGAAAGGGUGAGUAACGCGUGGGUAACCUACCUCUAAGUUGGGGACAACUUCUUGAAAGAGAGGCUAAUACCGGAUGUGAUUAUCUGAUGCAUAUCAGAAUAAUUAAAGGUGGGACUUCGGUCCUGCCGCUAAGAGAGGGGCCCGCGUACCAUCAGCUAGUUGGUGAGGUAAUGGCUCACCAAGGCUUACGGUUAGCCGGCCUGAGAGGGUGAUCGGCCACACUGGGACUGAGACACUGCCCAGACUCCUACGGGAGGCUGCAGUCGAGGAUCAUUGACAAUGCGCGAAAGCGUGAUCAUGCGACGCUGCGUGGAGGAUGAAGGCCUUAGGGUUGUAAACUCCUGUCAUUCGGGAAAAAUUGUGCGAUGGUUAAUACCCAUUGCAUUUGAUGUACCGAAAGAGAAGCCACGCUAACU
RNAcentral lists this ribosomal RNA (527 nucleotides) under uncultured bacterium. Its description in RNAcentral is "bacterial SSU rRNA". It matches the Rfam family "Bacterial small subunit ribosomal RNA", at positions 8 to 502 of the family's 1533-position model. The record is from RNAcentral.